This 451-nucleotide ribosomal RNA is filed under the name Streptomyces sp. EXM-24-1. RNAcentral describes it as "bacterial SSU rRNA". It matches the Rfam family "Bacterial small subunit ribosomal RNA", at positions 60 to 528 of the family's 1533-position model. The record is from RNAcentral. Lineage: Bacteria; Bacillati; Actinomycetota; Actinomycetes; Kitasatosporales; Streptomycetaceae.
AGUCGAACGAUGAACCACUUCGGUGGGGAUUAGUGGCGAACGGGUGAGUAACACGUGGGCAAUCUGCCCUGCACUCUGGGACAAGCCCUGGAAACGGGGUCUAAUACCGGAUACGAGUUUCACAGGCAUCUGUGAUUCUGGAAAGCUCCGGCGGUGCAGGAUGAGCCCGCGGCCUAUCAGCUUGUUGGUGAGGUAACGGCUCACCAAGGCGACGACGGGUAGCCGGCCUGAGAGGGCGACCGGCCACACUGGGACUGAGACACGGCCCAGACUCCUACGGGAGGCAGCAGUGGGGAAUAUUGCACAAUGGGCGAAAGCCUGAUGCAGCGACGCCGCGUGAGGGAUGACGGCCUUCGGGUUGUAAACCUCUUUCAGCAGGGAAGAAGCGCAAGUGACGGUACCUGCAGAAGAAGCGCCGGCUAACUACGUGCCAGCAGCCCGGGUAAUUCCA